This 492-nucleotide ribosomal RNA is filed under the name uncultured bacterium. RNAcentral describes it as "partial 16S ribosomal RNA". It matches the Rfam family "Bacterial small subunit ribosomal RNA", at positions 28 to 507 of the family's 1533-position model. The record is from RNAcentral.
GAUGAACGCUAGCUACAGGCUUAACACAUGCAAGUCGAGGGGAAACGGCAUCGAAAGCUUGCUUUUGAUGGGCGUCGACCGGCGCACGGGUGAGUAACGCGUAUCCAACCUGCCCAUCACUUGGGAAUAACCUUGCGAAAGUAAGACUAAUGCCCAAUGACAUCCCACGAAGGCAUCCGAAUGGGAUUAAAGAUUUAUCGGUGAUGGAUGGGGAUGCGUCUGAUUAGCUUGUUGGCGGGGUGACGGCCCACCAAGGCAACGAUCAGUAGGGGUUCUGAGAGGAAGGUCCCCCACAUUGGAACUGAGACACGGUCCAAACUCCUACGGGAGGCAGCAGUGAGGAAUAUUGGUCAAUGGGCGAGAGCCUGAAACAGCCAAGUAGCGUGCAGGAGGACGGCCCUAUGGGUUGUAAACUGCUUUUAUAAGGGAAUAAAGUGGGUCACGUGUGACUUUUUGCAUGUACCUUAUGAAUAAGGACCGGCUAAUUCCGUG